UGGGGAAUUUGGACGAAUUGGGCGACAAGCCAUGCAUCCAGCCAUGCCGCGUGAGUGAUGAAAGGCCCUUAGGGUUGUAAAGCUCUUUCGCCGGUGAAGAUAAUGACGGUAACCGGAGAAGAAGCCCCCGGCUAACUUCGUGCCAGCAGCCGCGGUAUACGAAGGGGGCGUAGCGUUGCUUCGGAAAUCACUGGGCGUAAAGCGCACGUAGGCGGAUCGUUAAGUCAGGGGGUGAAAAUCCUGGAGCUCAACUCCAGAACUGCCCUUGAUACUGGCGAUCUCGAGUUCGAGAGAGGUUGGUGGAACUCCGAGUGUAGAGGUGAAAUUCGUAGAUAUUCGGAAGAACACCAGUGGCGAAGGCGGCCAACUGGCUCGAUACUGACGCUGAGGU
This 391-nucleotide ribosomal RNA is filed under the name uncultured bacterium. Its description in RNAcentral is "partial 16S ribosomal RNA". It matches the Rfam family "Bacterial small subunit ribosomal RNA", at positions 355 to 752 of the family's 1533-position model. The record is from RNAcentral.